CACUCCUCCUGAGUGGAGGACCCCCUCCCAGGCAUUGGAGGCAGCCCUCUGCGUAGGACAUGAUCCUAGUUCAUCAGCCAGAGGUGGCAGCGGGGGACUCGAGUCCUGGAGGAAGCCCUGGGAUCCUGGGGCCCCUGCUGUCCCUGCCCCCAGCCUGCUCCUCGGAGGGGCCCCAGGCGGACCCCCGCCCAGGCCUCUCCAGCCCCGUCUCCUCGUUUGUCUUUGGCAGACGAUCACUGAUACCCUUCUCCCCGGGUCAGAUCGCAGCGAGGGAGCUCCAAACCUCGACCCAGAAGCAGGUCGUCGUCUGUGAAUGGUUCAGCACCAGGUUCCGCACGAACGUGCGGUGCGGGACCUUCGAGGGGGCAGCCGCCUUUCCCUGCAGCACCUCGUGUCUCGGGAGGAAGAACUUUGAGCACCGGCCUGUUCCCGCGGGCGGCAGGGUGCGCCACGCACGCCAGGCCAUGCCCAGAGGGCAUUCUCCUUUUGAUGGCCCAUUCUUCUUUUGAUGGAAUUUUGUUUUAUUGAUUUUUUUCCCCUAUGUGUUUUAUUUUAAAUGAAACUGCUAUUAGCUUCCUGUAAAAAAAAAAAAAAAAAAUCUCAAUCUGGCUAAGGAAGCACUUCCUGUGUUAAUAAUAACUACUAACAUA
Bos taurus (domestic cattle) is the source of this 650-nucleotide long non-coding RNA. NCBI's taxonomy places the organism in Eukaryota, Metazoa, Chordata, Mammalia, Artiodactyla, Bovidae. The record is from Ensembl.